This 510-nucleotide ribosomal RNA is filed under the name uncultured Glomeraceae. RNAcentral's name for it is "SSU rRNA". It matches the Rfam family "Eukaryotic small subunit ribosomal RNA", at positions 569 to 1082 of the family's 1831-position model. The record is from RNAcentral. Lineage: Eukaryota; Fungi; Glomeromycota; Glomeromycetes; Glomerales; Glomeraceae.
AGCAGCCGCGGUAAUUCCAGCUCCAAUAGCGUAUAUUAAAGUUGUUGCAGUUAAAAAGCUCGUAGUUGAAUUUCGGGGUCAGUAGGUUGGUCGUGCCACCGGUACGUACUGGUCUCACUGAUUCCUCCUUCCUGAUGAGCUGUAAUGCCAUUAAUUUGGUGUUGUAGGGAAUCUGGACUGUUACUUUGAAAAAAUUAGAGUGUUUAAAGCAGGCUAACGCUUGAAUACAUUAGCAUGGAAUAAUGAAAUAGGACGUUCGAUCCUAUUUUGUUGGUUUCUAGGAUUGACGUAAUGAUUAAUAGGGAUAGUUGGGGGCAUUAGUAUUCAAUUGUCAGAGGUGAAAUUCUUGGAUUUAUUGAAGACUAACUACUGCGAAAGCAUUUGCCAAGGAUGUUUUCAUUAAUCAAGAACGAAAGUUAGGGGAUCGAAGACGAUCAGAUACCGUCGUAGUCUUAACCAUAAACUAAUGCCGACUAGGGAUCGGAUGAUGUUAAUUUUUUAAUGUACUCA